GUAGGUGAACCUGCGGAAGGAUCAUUACCGAGUUCAUGCCCUCACGGGUAGAUCUCCCACCCUUUGUAUACCAUACCUUUGUUGCUUUGGCGGGCCGCCUAGCUACUGGCUUCGGCUGGUAAGUGCCCGCCAGAGGACCCAAAACCCUGAAUGUUAGUGUCGUCUGAGUAAAAUUUUAAUAUUUAAAACUUUCAACAACGGAUCUCUUGGCUCUGGCAUCGAUGAAGAACGCAGCAUCUGACUGACUCGA
This 250-nucleotide unclassified non-coding RNA is filed under the name plant metagenome. RNAcentral describes it as "partial contains small subunit ribosomal RNA, internal transcribed spacer 1, and 5.8S ribosomal RNA". The stretch from base 187 to 250 matches the Rfam family "5.8S ribosomal RNA", at positions 1 to 53 of the family's 154-position model. The record is from RNAcentral.